GGGGCGGUAGCUCAGCGGUAGAGCGCGCACGUCUCUUCGACCCUCGUCGGAGUCCACCUUUCCUCUCUCAUGCACCGAUUCGGGCCUCGAAUGCCCAGCGGGGACUACAUUUUUAAUGUCGAGGUCGUCGGUUCGAGUCCGACCCGCUCCA
Molecule: transfer RNA, 151 nt
Filed under: Nannocystis punicea
Lineage: Bacteria; Pseudomonadati; Myxococcota; Nannocystales; Nannocystaceae
Description: Nannocystis sp. fl3 tRNA-Lys
Rfam family: tRNA
About the family: Transfer RNA (tRNA) molecules are approximately 80 nucleotides in length. Their secondary structure includes four short double-helical elements and three loops (D, anti-codon, and T loops).
Source: RNAcentral